RNAcentral lists this unclassified non-coding RNA (301 nucleotides) under plant metagenome. RNAcentral describes it as "partial contains 5.8S ribosomal RNA, internal transcribed spacer 2, and large subunit ribosomal RNA". The stretch from base 1 to 105 matches the Rfam family "5.8S ribosomal RNA", at positions 50 to 154 of the family's 154-position model. The record is from RNAcentral.
GAAAUGCGAUAAGUAAUGUGAAUUGCAGAAUUCAGUGAAUCAUCGAAUCUUUGAACGCACAUUGCGCCCCCUGGUAUUCCGGGGGGCAUGCCUGUUCGAGCGUCAUUUCACCACUCAAGCCUCGCUUGGUAUUGGGCGACGCGGUCCGCCGCGCGCCUCAAAUCGACCGGCUGGGUCUUCCGUCCCCUCAGCGUUGUGGAAACUAUUCGCUAAAGGGUGCCGCGGGAGGUCACGCCGCAAAACAACCCCAUUUCUAAGGUUGACCUCGGAUCAGGUAGGGAUACCCGCUGAACAUAAGCAU